Non-coding RNA from Physcomitrium patens, 1314 nucleotides. Lineage: Eukaryota; Viridiplantae; Streptophyta; Bryopsida; Funariales; Funariaceae. The record is from RefSeq and is a predicted model, not a curated record.
AGUGAAGGAGCUAUGCGAAGCAGCGCCCCGGGUGCAAAUCGGAGGGCGUUCCCACAUGUGUGGCGAGGCGAGCAGGGAACUUCUGAUGUCGGCGACCGCGCGCCGCGGUUCCGUUGCAGUUUCGGUCUUUUCUUACUGCACAGCGGAAAUGGCAUCGCAAUUCUCUAAGUGGUGGGGAAGCUUAGUUGCAAGUCGAAGCAGAACAACAAAACACAAAGUUUCUAUGCAAAUAUAGCAUCUCCGGUUCACUUAGGAAGACGCUGUGGAGUAUAUGGUAACCGAAUCUGCUCUGAAGUGCCCUCAAACUAUUCUUCGCCCGUUUUGUCCCCGGGUUAGAAUUUGGAGUAAUGACAGAGUGUACUGCCAAAAGAGCUUCUCACAACUCCACCGCCUAUGAACUUAGGGUUUCUUCUUUGCGACCAAAUUCACCGGACCAAUUCAGGCAAAUACAAGGUCGUAACAAGAUACUCAAAAGAUAGACGGGUAAGAAACACACAUGCUAUUUUUAGUGAGUUGGUGUUAGUGUUGAGAAUACUCUGCUAACCCUAAAAAGGCAUCCUCUUAACAAGGUGUCUAAAAUUGCGAUAAUGUUCAUGAUUAUGGUGAUAGUGUUGAGAAUACUCUGCUAACCCUAAAAAAGCAUCCUCUUAACAAGGUGUCUAAAAUUGCGAUAAUGUUCAUGAUUACUAAACAAAACAAACAUCCUUUUCAUACACGAACCCAGAUAUUUGACUGUCCAGAACUGGAUCGAAAAUACCCAUCUCAUAGGCUUUACAUGAAGUUACUAACUGAUUGCAAAAACGUGAAACAUCCAUCUACAAUGUUUCCAAUCUUUCUGCUAUGAAACUGCGGUUGUACACAAUCUAUUAGAAUUUACAGUUUCCUUUUCCGUUUCCUGAAAGAGAUGGUGUCGAAAGGACCCGCUUGCAGGUUGCCGAAAUGGUGUGGUAGGCUGCAGCUGCACCUUAAGCAGCCAUUUGUUAACAUCUUCAUGCACCACAUUUUAAAGCCGUAAAUCCAUAUACAGUUACUAUAAAUGAUAGAUCUGUUGUUUGCGGAGGCCAAGGGAUGUUUUCAUUCACCCAGUAGUGAAGGAUCCUUCAUAUAGAAUGAGCAGACACAUCUCCUGCUGCGAAUCAGGAAUGACCUCAUUUCCCUGUUUUUCUUUUCAGAAAGAAUGUGUUGUCUAUACAGGAAAAGAGGAAGUUGAUUCUUAAUGCAUUUUUUUAAAGUAUUAUAGAACUUUCAAGAUCCAAAAUUUUCUUGAUAAUACUUCAAAUAAAAUAAUAAAAUAAUAAAAUAAUAAAUCUGUUA